This 1051-nucleotide long non-coding RNA is filed under the name Homo sapiens (human). RNAcentral describes it as "non-protein coding LINC01615:9". The record is from RNAcentral. Lineage: Eukaryota; Metazoa; Chordata; Mammalia; Primates; Hominidae.
CUAUUGGUCUAUGUAAUGCUGGUGCCAAACAAUAAGAAAAACCAACAAAACACUGACCUUGGUCCACAGACAACACCCACGUCCACGUGGUGGGUGGGACUGGCUCCGUCAGAGGAUGGGAAGAUGAGAAGUGCUUGUCGCAGGCCUGGAGAUGGGGACCACCCAGGCAUGCAGGGGAUGCUGCCUCUCCUCCAUCCAACAACAAGCCUGCGUGUGCCCAGCCCCCUCUGGUACACGCAUUGCUCCCCAUCCUCGGCAUUGAUCAAUUGAAAAUAAGACCUUGGAAGAACCCCUUGCAAAGCUGACAUUGUACGAGCCAAGGCAGGGUCAGGGGGAAGACAGGGGAUCCCGAAGAUAACGUCUGCUACGAACUCAAUUGCAUCCGCCCCGGGCCCUAAGUUGAAGCCCUAAUCCCCACGUUGACUGCAUUUGGAGAAGGACCUUCAGCACAUGAUGGAGGGUAAGUGAGGUCACCAGGCUGGGGCCCUCAUCUGCUGGGGAUCCUUCUAAGAAGCAGAAGAGGCACCGGGGUGAGUGAGCACCGAGGAAAGCCAGGCGGGCAUGCAGCCAGGGGCGGCCAUCUGCAGCCGGGAGGAGAUCCUUCCCCAGGAACCAGCCCUGCCCACACCUCGACCCCCAGCUUCCAGUUGCCAGGGCUGUGUCGAAAGGCCCUUGUGUGGUUGAAGCCGCCCAGUCUUCGGCAUUUUGUUAUGGCAGCUCCAGAAGACGAAGCCCGUUCUCUAUCCCUGACUUGAAGGUCCCUCACUCAGAUUCUCUAAUCAGUUUGGAUGAUGAAUUACUCACUCCCAACCUGGGAUUCAGGCCACACUGUUCAGAUGACCUGGGUUUGAAGAAAGGGAUGUCCUCAAAGCCGUACGACCUGGGUGGUGUGAGCAUCAAGGGGGGCUUCCCUGCCAUGAAACACAGCAGUCACCCCUCUGCCUUGAAGGCAGCACCCUGCAGAUGCACCUGCCCCAGCUUCAGCACCAGCCAGGGCUGGAUUUGCAUCCUGCCUCUUCUACUGUAACAUUUGAAAACAUGGCUUUCCCCU